CAAGUACUCCCUCCGUCCAGAAUUACUUGUCAUCAAAAUGCAUGUGUCUAGAACUAAAAUACAUCUAGAUACAUCCAUUUCAAUGACAAGUAUUUUCGGACGGAGGGAGUACAAG
Non-coding RNA from Triticum aestivum (bread wheat), 115 nucleotides. The record is from Rfam. Lineage: Eukaryota; Viridiplantae; Streptophyta; Magnoliopsida; Poales; Poaceae.